This 484-nucleotide ribosomal RNA is filed under the name uncultured bacterium. RNAcentral describes it as "bacterial SSU rRNA". It matches the Rfam family "Bacterial small subunit ribosomal RNA", at positions 407 to 948 of the family's 1533-position model. The record is from RNAcentral.
UGUGAGGUUUCGGAUCUAAACUUGUUGAAGGGAAGAACACGUACGAGAGAAUGCUCGUCCUUGAGGUACCUAGAGAAACCACGGCUAACUACGUCCACAGCCGCGGAAUACUAGGUGGCAGGUUGUCCGGAUUAUUGGGCUAAGCGCGCGCAGGGGCCUUUAAGUCUGAGUGAAGCCCCCGGUCAACGGGAGGGCCAUUGGAACUGGAGGCUUGAGUACGAAAGAAGAGUGGAUCACGUGUAGCGGUGAAUGCGAGAGAUGUGGAGGACACAGUGGCGAGGCACUCUUUGGUCUGUAAUGACGUGAGGCGCGAAAGCGUGGGGCAACAGAUUAGAUACCCUGGUAGUCACGCGUAAACGAUGAGUGCUAGUGUGGGGUUUCGCCCCUCAGUGCUGAGCUAAGCAUUAAGCACUCCGCCUGGAGUGGCCGCAAGGCUGAAACUCAAGGAAUGGACGGGGACCCGCACAGCGGGAGAUGUGGUUUA